This 486-nucleotide ribosomal RNA is filed under the name uncultured bacterium. Its description in RNAcentral is "partial 16S ribosomal RNA". It matches the Rfam family "Bacterial small subunit ribosomal RNA", at positions 30 to 507 of the family's 1533-position model. The record is from RNAcentral.
AUUGAACGCUGGCGGCAUGCCUUACACAUGCAAGUCGAACGGCAGCACGGGUGCUUGCACCUGGUGGCGAGUGGCGAAAGGGUGAGUAAUACAUCGGAACAUGUCCUGUAGUGGGGGAUAGCCCGGCGAAAGCCGGAUUAAUACCGCAUACGAUCUACGGAUGAAAGCGGGGGACCUUCGGGCCUCGCGCUAUAGGGUUGGCCGAUGGCUGAUUAGCUAGUUGGUGGGGUAAAGGCCUACCAAGGCGACGAUCAGUAGCUGGUCUGAGAGGACGACCAGCCACACUGGGACUGAGACACGGCCCAGACUCCUACGGGAGGCAGCAGUGGGGAAUUUUGGACAAUGGGCGAAAGCCUGAUCCAGCAAUGCCGCGUGUGUGAAGAAGGCCUUCGGGUUGUAAAGCACUUUUGUCCGGAAAGAAAUCCUUGGCCCUAAUACGGUCGGGGGAUGACGGUACCGGAAGAAUAAGCACCGGCUAACUACGUG